This 1272-nucleotide long non-coding RNA is filed under the name Canis lupus familiaris (dog). RNAcentral's name for it is "lncRNA (ENSCAFG00040023364.1)". Lineage: Eukaryota; Metazoa; Chordata; Mammalia; Carnivora; Canidae. The record is from RNAcentral.
AUGGCUCCUGCAGGGGCGUCUGCUGGGCAUUGUCAGGCCUGUCAGCUCCCCACACUCCUCACGCUGUCCCAGCACGUGCCUCUGCACAGGCUCCCCGACAUCCCCAUCUCACAGAUGGGGAGAGUGAGACAGUGGACGCCACCUGGGUUGGGUCACACAGCCGGUGAACAGGAUCAAAUCAGCCAGCUCGGUCAGCACCAAGGGGCCCAAGGGGUCUGGCAGCGGGCGAGCGGCUGCAGGGGUGACUGGGUUUCACUGGCAUCUCCCGUCCACACUGGGAACGGGGACCGCGUGCACAUGGGUGGACUGCAGGGGGCUCUGGAUGCCACCCGAGGCCACUGGGUCAGAGCUGGUGGGGCCCCAAGUACGCCAGCCAGCCGGGCCGGGGGGCGGCCAGUGGCUGCGGGCCAUCCGAGGGAGCCUUUGCCACACGUGAGCCAGCGCCUGGCCACGGCCAGAGCUCAGCCCCUGCGGCAGCUCAGCCCCUGCCCCUCCGUGUGCAGGCGCUGUGGGGGGUCAGUCCAGGACGGCAUCGGGACCCCCCAGGACCCCGCCUGGGACCUGUCUGCACCCCCCGCUCCUCCUGCCGUAGCCCGCUCUCCUGCUCUCCAGGGGCACCGCUGCAGCCCGCGGCCCGCAGCCCUCCUGACCUUUGUCCCUUGGCUGCUCUGUUUAAGGGACCCCGACUUGCGGGCCAGGAGGGAGAUUUCCCUGCAGGGCUUUCAGCUCCUGAGGGCACCCCAGCGAGGCUUCCUUCUAAGAGACACCCGCAGUCAGGACAGCAGGCCGAGCUGUGUGUGCCCGGGGUCAGGGCGGGGCCGGGGGGCCCGGCCCUCGCUGGGGGGUGAGGGGCCCCUGGGGGGAGACCCUGCAGCUGGACUCCCUCUCCAGGGCGCUAUGGCCCGACCCUGUGGACUGGACCUUCGAGGGCUCCCCUCAGCUGGCCCUCCUGGCAGCCAGACACACAACUGGGGGGGCCAUCCUGCCCCCCAGGAAUGCUGCCCAGCCCGGGUUGGGGACAAGCCCUUGUCUGGGCGUCUUGCACCAGAACCUGUGGCCCUCUCGGGAACCCUUGCCGAAGGGGGCAGGACGGGGCUGGCGGGGGCCUGGAGUCAUGGCCCCAGCCCCCAGCCCCAGCACCAGCACCCAGCCCCAGUCCCAGUCCCAACCCCAGUCCCCAGCACCCAGCCCCAGUCCCCAGCACCCAGCCCCAGGCCCCAGUCCCAACCCCAGUCCCCAGCACCCAGCCCCAGUCUCCAUUCCCAGCCCUAG